Molecule: ribosomal RNA, 429 nt
Filed under: Acidobacteriota bacterium
Lineage: Bacteria; Pseudomonadati; Acidobacteriota
Description: Acidobacteria bacterium partial 16S ribosomal RNA
Rfam family: Bacterial small subunit ribosomal RNA
Source: RNAcentral
UGGGGAAUUUUGGACAAUGGGGGAAACCCUGAUCCAGCCAUCCCGCGUGUGCGAUGAAGGCCUUCGGGUUGUAAAGCACUUUUGGCAGGAAAGAAACGUCAUGGGUUAAUACCCCGUGAAACUGACGGUACCUGCAGAAUAAGCACCGGCUAACUACGUGCCAGCAGCCGCGGUAAUACGUAGGGUGCAAGCGUUAUACGGAAUUACUGGGCGUAAAGCGUGCGCAGGCGGUUCGGAAAGAAAGAUGUGAAAUCCCAGAGCUCAACUUUGGAACUGCAUUUUUAACUAUCGGGCUAGAGUGUGUCAGAGGGAGGUGGAAUUCCGCGUGUAGCAGUGAAAUGCGUCGAUAUGCGGAGGAACACCGAUGGCGAAGGCAGCCUCCUGGGAUAACACUGACGCUCAUGCACGAAAGCGUGGGGAGCAAACAGG